This 3001-nucleotide ribosomal RNA is filed under the name Salmonella enterica. RNAcentral's name for it is "bacterial LSU rRNA". It matches the Rfam family "Bacterial large subunit ribosomal RNA". Lineage: Bacteria; Pseudomonadati; Pseudomonadota; Gammaproteobacteria; Enterobacterales; Enterobacteriaceae. The record is from RNAcentral.
UUAAGCGACCAAGCGUACACGGUGGAUGCCCUGGCAGUCAGAGGCGAUGAAGGACGUGCUAAUCUGCGAAAAGCGCCGGUAAGGUGAUAUGAACCGUUAUAACCGGCGAUGUCCGAAUGGGGAAACCCAGUGUGACUCGUCACACUAUCAUUAACUGAAUCCAUAGGUUAAUGAGGCGAACCGGGGGAACUGAAACAUCUAAGUACCCCGAGGAAAAGAAAUCAACCGAGAUUCCCCCAGUAGCGGCGAGCGAACGGGGAGCAGCCCAGAGCCUGAAUCAGCAUAUGUGUUAGUGGAAGCGUCUGGAAAGGCGCGCGAUACAGGGUGACAGCCCCGUACACAAAAGCGCAUAUGCUGUGAGCUCGAUGAGUAGGGCGGGACACGUGAUAUCCUGUCUGAAUAUGGGGGGACCAUCCUCCAAGGCUAAAUACUCCUGACUGACCGAUAGUGAACCAGUACCGUGAGGGAAAGGCGAAAAGAACCCCGGCGAGGGGAGUGAAACAGAACCUGAAACCGUGUACGUACAAGCAGUGGGAGCCCCACCACUAAGCCAGUGGUGAACUCCACAUACGCAUCCUUUGCGGAAGAUGCGGUUAACGGAGCGAAAGCGACGUUCAACCGCAAAAGAAGCAGAGGGGGCUUAGUGGUGGGGUGACUGCGUACCUUUUGUAUAAUGGGUCAGCGACUUAUAUUCUGUAGCAAGGUUAACCGUAUAGGGGAGCCGCAGGGAAACCGAGUCUUAACCGGGCGUUAAGUUGCAGGGUAUAGACCCGAAACCCGGUGAUCUAGCCAUGGGCAGGUUGAAGGUUGGGUAACACUAACUGGAGGACCGAACCGACUAAUGUUGAAAAAUUAGCGGAUGACCUGUGGCUGGGGGUGAAAGGCCAAUCAAACCGGGAGAUAGCUGGUUCUCCCCGAAAGCUAUUUAGGUAGCGCCUCGUGAACUCAUCUCCGGGGGUAGAGCACUGUUUCGGCCAGGGGGCCAUCCCGGCUUACCAACCCGAUGCAAACUGCGAAUACCGGAGAAUGUUAUCACGGGAGACACACGGCGGGUGCUAACGUCCGUCGUGAAGAGGGAAACAACCCAGACCGCCAGCUAAGGUCCCAAAGUCAUGGUUAAGUGGGAAACGAUGUGGGAAGGCCCAGACAGCCAGGAUGUUGGCUUAGAAGCAGCCAUCAUUUAAAGAAAGCGUAAUAGCUCACUGGUCGAGUCGGCCUGCGCGGAAGAUGUAACGGGGCUAAACCAUGCACCGAAGCUGCGGCAGCGACACUGUGUGUUGUUGGGUAGGGGAGCGUUCUGUAAGCCUGCGAAGGUGGCCUGUGAGGGUUGCUGGAGGUAUCAGAAGUGCGAAUGCUGACAUAAGUAACGAUAAUGCGGGUGAAAAACCCGCACGCCGGAAGACCAAGGGUUCCUGUCCAACGUUAAUCGGGGCAGGGUGAGUCGACCCCUAAGGCGAGGCCGAAAGGCGUAGUCGAUGGGAAACGGGUUAAUAUUCCCGUACCUGGUGUUACUGCGAAGGGGGGACGGAGAAGGCUAUGUUGGCCGGGCGACGGUUGUCCCGGUUUAAGCGUGUAGGCUGGUUUUCCAGGCAAAUCCGGAAAAUCAAGGCUGAGGCGUGACGACGAGGCACUACGGUGCUGAAGCAACAAAUGCCCUGCUUCCAGGAAAAGCCUCUAAGCCUCAGGUAACAUCAGAUCGUACCCGAAACCGACACAGGUGGUCAGGUAGAGAAUACCAAGGCGCUUGAGAGAACCCGGGUGAAGGAACUAGGCAAAAUGGUGCCGUAACUUCGGGAGAAGGCACGCUGACACGUAGGUGAAGCGGUUUACCCGUGGAGCUGAAGUCAGUCGAAGAUACCAGCUGGCUGCAACUGUUUAUUAAAAACACAGCACUGUGCAAACACGAAAGUGGACGUAUACGGUGUGACGCCUGCCCGGUGCCGGAAGGUUAAUUGAUGGGGUCAGCGCAAGCGAAGCUCCUGAUCGAAGCCCCGGUAAACGGCGGCCGUAACUAUAACGGUCCUAAGGUAGCGAAAUUCCUUGUCGGGUAAGUUCCGACCUGCACGAAUGGCGUAAUGAUGGCCAGGCUGUCUCCACCCGGGACUCAGUGAAAUUGAACUCGCUGUGAAGAUGCAGUGUACCCGCGGCAAGACGGAAAGACCCCGUGAACCUUUACUAUAGCUUGACACUGAACACUGGUCCUUGAUGUGCAGGAUAGGUGGGAGGCUUUGAAGUGUGGACGCCAGUCUGCAUGGAGCCGUCCUUGAAAUACCACCCUUUAAUGGCUGGUGUUCUAACGUAGACCCGUGAACCGGGUUGCGGACAGUGUCUGGUGGGUAGUUUGACUGGGGCGGUCUCCUCCUAAAGCGUAACGGAGGAGCACGAAGGUUGGCUAAUCCUGGUCGGACAUCAGGAGGUUAGUGCAAUGGCAUAAGCCAGCUUGACUGCGAGCGUGACGGCGCGAGCAGGUGCGAAAGCAGGUCAUAGUGAUCCGGUGGUUCUGAAUGGAAGGGCCAUCGCUCAACGGAUAAAAGGUACUCCGGGGAUAACAGGCUGAUACCGCCCAAGAGUUCAUAUCGACGGCGGUGUUUGGCACCUCGAUGUCGGCUCAUCACAUCCUGGGGCUGAAGUAGGUCCCAAGGGUAUGGCUGUUCGCCAUUUAAAGUGGUACGCGAGCUGGGUUUAGAACGUCGUGAGACAGUUCGGUCCCUAUCUGCCGUGGGCGCUGGAGAACUGAGGGGGGCUGCUCCUAGUACGAGAGGACCGGAGUGGACGCAUCACUGGUGUUCGGGUUGUCAUGCCAAUGGCACUGCCCGGUAGCUAAAUGCGGAAGAGAUAAGUGCUGAAAGCAUCUAAGCACGAAACUUGCCCCGAGAUGAGUUCUCCCUGAGACUUUAGUCUCCUGAAGGAACGUUGAAGACGACGACGUUGAUAGGCCGGGUGUGUAAGCGCAGCGAUGCGUUGAGCUAACCGGUACUAAUGAACCGUGAGGCUUAACCUU